RNAcentral lists this ribosomal RNA (393 nucleotides) under Stramenopiles sp. MAST-10. RNAcentral's name for it is "partial small subunit ribosomal RNA". It matches the Rfam family "Eukaryotic small subunit ribosomal RNA", at positions 582 to 975 of the family's 1831-position model. The record is from RNAcentral.
AUUCCAGCUCCAAUAGCGUAUAUUAAAGUUGUUGCAGUUAAAAAGCUCGUAGUUGGAUUUCUGGCGGGAGCGACCGGUCGGCGCUUAAUGGCGUGUGCACUGGAGUUGUCUCUUGCCAUCCUUGAGGAGAACGUGUCUGGCAUUAAGUUGUCGGGCUUGGGAUCCUCAUCGUUUACUGUGAAAAAAUUAGAGUGUUUAAAGCAGGCAUUUGCUGUGAAUACAUUAGCAUGGAAUAAUAAGAUAGGACUUUGGUGCUAUUUUGUUGGUUUGCGUACCAAGGUAAUGAUUAAUAGGGAUAGUUGGGGGUAUUCGUAUUCAAUUGUCAGAGGUGAAAUUCUUGGAUUUAUGGAAGACGAACAACUGCGAAAGCAUUUACCAAGGAUGUUUUCAUCA